GACGAACGCUGGCGGCGUGCUUAACACAUGCAAGUCGAGCGGUAAGGCCCUUUCGGGGGUACACGAGCGGCGAACGGGUGAGUAACACGUGGGUGACCUGCCCUUAGCUCUGGGAUAAGCCUGGGAAACUGGGUCUAAUACCGGAUAUGACUCCGUAACGCAUGUUGUGGGGUGGAAAGCCUUGUGCGGCUAGGGAUGGGCCCGCGGCCUAUCAGCUUGUUGGUGGGGUGAUGGCCACCAAGGCGACGACGGGUAGCCGGCCUGAGAGGGCGACCGGCCACACUGGGACUGAGACACGGCCCAGACUCCUACGGGAGGCAGCAGUGGGGAAUCUUGCGCAAUGGGCGAAAGCCUGACGCAGCGACGCCGCGUGGGGAUGAC
Molecule: ribosomal RNA, 381 nt
Filed under: uncultured bacterium
Lineage: Bacteria
Description: bacterial SSU rRNA
Rfam family: Bacterial small subunit ribosomal RNA
Source: RNAcentral